CGUGUAGGCGGUGAAACAAGUCAAACUUUAAAUGCUCUCGGCUUAACCAGAGUACGGGUUUGAUACCAUUUCGCUGGAGAUUGGGAGAGGAAAGUGGAACUAACAGUGUAGCGGUGAAAUGCGUAGAUAUUGUUAGGAACACCCGUGGCGAAGGCGGCUUUCUGGACCAAUUCUGACGCUGAGACGCGAAAGCGUGGGGAGCAAACAGGAUUAGAUACCCUGGUAGUCCACGCUGUAAACAAUGUACAUUAGGUAUAGAGGGUAUCGACCCCUUCUGUGCCGAAGCUAACGCGUUAAAUGUACCGCCUGGGGAGUACGGUCGCAAGAUUAAA
This 332-nucleotide ribosomal RNA is filed under the name uncultured bacterium. Its description in RNAcentral is "bacterial SSU rRNA". It matches the Rfam family "Bacterial small subunit ribosomal RNA", at positions 568 to 898 of the family's 1533-position model. The record is from RNAcentral.